Molecule: ribosomal RNA, 484 nt
Filed under: uncultured bacterium
Lineage: Bacteria
Description: partial 16S ribosomal RNA
Rfam family: Bacterial small subunit ribosomal RNA
Source: RNAcentral
AUUGAACGCUGGCGGCAGGCCUAACACAUGCAAGUCGAGCGGAUGAAGGGAGCUUGCUUCGGGAUCCAGCGGCGGACGGGUGAGUAAUUCCUAGGAAUCGGGCUGGUAGUGGGGGAUAACGUCCGGAAUAGGGCGCUAAUAGCGCAUACGACCUGAGGGAGAAAGUGGGGGAUCGUCGGCGCUUAAGUUACUAGAUGAUGCGAGGACGGAUUAGCAAGUUGGUGGGGUAAAGGCUUACCAAGGCGACGAUCCGUAACUGGCCUGAGAGGAUGUUCAUUCCCACUGGAAGUGAGAGACGGUCCAGACUCCUACGGGGAGCAGCAGUGGGGAAUAUUGGACGAUGGGCGAAAGCCUGAUCCAGCCAUGCCGCAUGUGUGAAGAGGGUCUUCGGGUUUUGAAGCACUUUGAGUUGGGAGGAAGGGCAGUAAGUUCAUAACUAGCUGUUUUGACGUUACCUACAGAAUAAGCACCGGCUAACUUCGUG